AAAGGUCACGGCGAGACGAGCCGGUUAUCAUUACGAUAGGUGUUAAGUGGAAGUACAGUGAUGUAUGCAGCUGAGGCAUCCUAACAGACCGAUAGACUUGAAC
This 103-nucleotide ribosomal RNA is filed under the name Frankenia pulverulenta. Its description in RNAcentral is "4.5S ribosomal RNA". RNAcentral also lists the same sequence under 1 other name. The record is from RNAcentral. Lineage: Eukaryota; Viridiplantae; Streptophyta; Magnoliopsida; Caryophyllales; Frankeniaceae.